Molecule: ribosomal RNA, 503 nt
Filed under: uncultured bacterium
Lineage: Bacteria
Description: partial 16S ribosomal RNA
Rfam family: Bacterial small subunit ribosomal RNA
Source: RNAcentral
AUUGAACGCUGGCGGCAGGCUUAACACAUGCAAGUCGAGCGGGGUGAUGGUGCUUGCACUAUCACUUAGCGGCGGACGGGUGAGUAAUGCUUAGGAAUCUGCCUAUUAGUGGGGGACAACAUCUCGAAAGGGAUGCUAAUACCGCAUACGUCCUACGGGAGAAAGCAGGGGAUCACUUGUGACCUUGCGCUAAUAGAUGAGCCUAAGUCGGAUUAGCUAGUUGGUGGGGUAAAGGCCUACCAAGGCGACGAUGUGUAGCGGGUCUGAGAGGAUGAUCCGCCACACUGAGACUGAGACACGGCCCGAACUCCUACGGGAGGCAGCAGUGGGGAAUAUUGGACAAUGGGGGGAACCCUGAUCCAGCCAUGCCGCGUGUGUGAAGAAGGCCUUAUGGUUGUAAAGCACUUUAAGCGAGGAGGAGGCUCUUUUGGUUAAUACCCAAGAUGAGUGGACGUUACUCGCAGAAUAAGCACCGGCUAACUCUGUGCCAGCCGCCGCCGUAA